CUGCCACCAUGUGAGACAUGCCUUUCACCUUCCACCAUGACUGUGAGGCCUCUUCAGCCAUGUGGAACUUGCAAGGAAGAGGUCAUAUGAGCACCCAGAGAAACAGUGGCUGCCUGCAAGACUAGAGAACAGUCCUCAGAAUAAAACCUCCCUGGCUGGCACCUUGAGCUUGGACUUCCUGGCCUCUAGAACUGUGAGAAAUGAAUUUCUGUGAUUUAAGCCACUAAAUCUAUGGUAUUUUUUUAAGCAUCUCAAGCAGACAAAUAGAGAUGCAUACUCUGUGAUAUAUUUAUAAAAAGGUUUAAAACAUGCAAUUCUACCAUAUGUUGUUUAGGAACACACACAUAUGUAGUAAUAGCAUAAAUGCAUCCACGGGAUGUAUAAACACCAAAUUUAGGAGAGUGGUUCUCUUUGCAGGGUAGGGGAAGGGGAGAUGCAACUGGGGAAGGAUCAGGAAGUCUCAAGUAUAUUUGCUAUUUUAUUUCCUAAGGUGAAUGCUAUGUUGUUUUCUAAAUGUUUUUGUAUGUUUUUAUGUCACAAGAAUAUUUUUAAAAGAAAAGAUUGGGACCUCGUGAAAUCAUCAAGGUGCUGGAUCAAACCUUACCAAGUUAUAUGAGCCGACACACCCCACAGUUGCUUCAGCCAAUGUGAGGAUGAUUUGUUUGUUGCUGCAGUCAGAGGCUCAUCAGAGAUCUGGUCUCCUCCAUGAGGCCUCAUCUAACCACUGCAGCUCCGGAAUGAGCCCCGUCUCACCUGCUAUAAACUAUGAUGACUUUCACUUGGUUCAA
Sapajus apella (tufted capuchin) is the source of this 788-nucleotide long non-coding RNA. RefSeq lists it as uncharacterized. The transcript has 2 exons. Lineage: Eukaryota; Metazoa; Chordata; Mammalia; Primates; Cebidae. The record is from RefSeq and is a predicted model, not a curated record.